UGCCUUUGUGUUACUCAUUCAUUCCUGUCCAGAAUGAAAGUGACGCCAAAAAAGGCAAACAGGAAUUCUUGCUCAGACUGUUUAAGGAGCUGGUUAUUUAACUUCUCCUCCUUGUUUUUGCAAGAACAGAA
This is a small nucleolar RNA of Neopsephotus bourkii (Bourke's parrot), 131 nucleotides long. RefSeq annotates it as small nucleolar RNA SNORA13. NCBI's taxonomy places the organism in Eukaryota, Metazoa, Chordata, Aves, Psittaciformes, Psittacidae. The record is from RefSeq and is a predicted model, not a curated record. The transcript has a single exon.